Non-coding RNA from Oryctolagus cuniculus (rabbit), 4070 nucleotides. The record is from RefSeq and is a predicted model, not a curated record. Lineage: Eukaryota; Metazoa; Chordata; Mammalia; Lagomorpha; Leporidae.
UUCUGAAAGUGGGGGAUUUUUGUCUUGUCUAAAUCAGAACGUGUAAGAGUUGGAGGAACCUGGCUCCCAGUUUUUAUGUCAUUUCUUAACUCCUGGUAAAAACUAAGUGUGUUUCACAGAUUGGUGUGAGGAGAUAAGUGAUCUUUGUUCUGGUUUUGUAGGUAUGUAUAAAAGGGGUCUUUCAUUAAUACAGAAAGAAGUGAGCAGCUUAGAUGUGGCGUCGUGCAUAAACGAUGGGAGAGUCCAGGGUGCCUGCCACCUUUGUAUCCGCUCAUUCAGCAGAUAGGUUCGACUGUGUAUCAGUUGCAGUUUAAGGCACUGUGAUCAACAGGAAACAAGACAGUCUCAGAAACACUGCGUUUCUUGUUUGUUUCUGCGUGUCCACACGCGGGGGCCGGGCAGUUUCUGUGUCAGCAUUGUGAGAGUCCUCCACUCCGAGACACGUGGAGCUUGGUGGGUGAGACGGAUGCAGGCAGUGUGGCACCGUGUGUAUAGAUAGUCAGUGUUUAGUUGAUUCUGUGUGCAAGAGGUGGUACUAGAAAAAGUGUAAUAGGAUUUGUCUUAUGUAUUUACAAUUUAAGGUUUUAUAAAGUUCAUUUUAAAAUAAGUUACCUAAUUUAGAGCCACCUGAUUCUCUUCUGUGUCUCCUAGCAGCCGUAAAAACCUGUAUUUCACUUCUCAAACACUACAUUGUGCCCAAUAAAGUAUCACCUGGUACCCCAUAAAUAGUAACUAGAAAUUAAAAAAGCUUAGCCCAUGAUACAUCAUUUGAAGAGUUCCACUGUUUGUUUGUUUGUUUAAAAAGAUUCUGUUUAUUUAUUUGAGAGGUAGAGUUACAGGAGGGAGAGGGAGAGACAAAAAAGAAAAGUCUUCCAUUCUCUGGUCACUCCCUACAAGGCUGCAACGGCUGGAACUGGGCUGAUCCAAAGCCAGGAGCUUCUUCCAGGUCUCCCACGCUGGUGCAGGAGCCCAAGCACUUGGGCCAUCCUCCACUGCUUUCCCAGGCCACAGCAGGGAGCUGGAUGGGAAGAGGAGCAGCGACACUACAGGCAGAGGAUUAACCUGCACCACAGUGCCAGCCUCUGUCUUUUAUUUUCAAAGUUCUAUUCAUUCAUUUGAAAGAGAGCCUCCAUCUGCUUAUUCACUGCCCAGAUGCCACAGCUGGGGCUGGGCCAGGUUAGAGCCAGCAACCUUCGGCAGAUCCCGGAUCCUGACUGCCCUGCCACACACUGGGCCUCCACCUCCAGUGUCGCAGUGCCCUCCCUGGUCAGACUGGGAGUUACAAACCGCUGUAAUUAGUUUCGUAAUAAUGGAGACGUGUGAAGGAUUGUUUUGAAAGAAGAAUAUUUCUGUGUUUCCUGAAGUCAAGAUCUGUGAGCGGUUGUAGAGGGAGAGUGUGGAUUCUCCUCUUUGUAGCUGUCUGUCUUGGUUUAGAGAUCGUCCUACUGAGGGCGCUGGGCCAGGUGGUCUCUGGGGUUUGCUGUGGCUCUGGGUCUUGGAAAACUGCAUUUCCUAACUGAGCGCUUCACGGGUACAUUAGUGCCGUCCGGAACUUGGGCUUUUGCAUUUGAUUCCGUCUGAAGCAUUUUUGGUGGCUGUAGGUGGGCAGUUGCUGAGUUACAUGUUGUAGUAUGGUUCCAGCACUCAGAAGUUAAACUUGGUAGGAGGAAGAUCUAUUUGAAAUUUCACCCAGCAUUAAAACACAAGGAACAGAUUAUUGGAGUGAAGCGUUCGCAUUUCUGCAACACCUGUAGAUAGAUAAUAAUGUCUCCCACAGGUCCACACCCAUGUGUCUUAGCUGUCCGUCUGCAGCAGAAAUACUUGCCAGACCGAGGUCUGCUGAGCUUGAGGCCUGAGGUGUAGGACUGGCGAGGAGCAGCCUUUUCUGUCGUGUGGGUGCUGUUUCUCGGGGCUUCAGUUCUGUGUAGUCUUGAGCAGCCAGCUGGCAAGAACAGGUCACGGCUCACCUGGUUUUAUUCCCUGGGGAACCCCUGCUUGCUCUGAUGCCAUCUGCACUUCAUGAAAUCACAACUGAAUAAUUUUACAUGGAUUCCCACAGAUGUGGGUUUACCGAGUCCCUGCUGUGUCCCAGGUACUUCCCGGGCUGUCGGAGGUGGAGCGUCUGUGCCUUCCUGAGUGUGCGCUGUCAUCUGUUGGCUGGGUGCAGACGUGUGAGUGCUUCUGGGAGUUCAGGCCUGGUGCUCUGCGGGACACCACCUCUCCCAGCAGACGCAGGGCUCCCGCACCACGGACACUGGGAACGGUUCCCCUUGAAAAUGCAGAUUCAUCUUCUCAGUUUAUGUGAGUGACCAGCUUAUUUAGAAGGUUGGAUGCAGAGGUCAAAGGUGUGAGUGGCCAGCUGAUUUAGAAGGCUGGAUGCAGAGGUCAAAGGUGUGAGUGGCCAGCUGAUUUAGAAGGCUGGAUGCAGAGGUCAAAGGUGUGAGUGGCCAGCUGAUUUAGAAGGCUGGAUGCAGAGGUCAAAGGUGUGAGUGGCCAGCUGAUUUAGAAGGCUGGAUGCAGAGGUCAAAGGUGUGAGUGGCCAGCUGAUUUAGAAGGCUGGAUGCAGAGGUCAAAGGUGUGAGUGGCCAGCUGAUUUAGAAGGCUGGAUGCAGAGGUCAAAGGUGUGAGUGGCCAGCUGAUUUAGAAGGCUGGAUGCAGAGGUCAAAGGUGUGAGUGGCCAGCUGAUUUAGAAGGCUGGACGCAGAGGUCAAAGGUGUGAGUGGCCAGCUGAUUUAGAAGGCUGGACGCAGAGGUCAAAGGUGUGAGUGGCCAGCUGAUUUAGAAGGCUGGACGCAGAGGUCAAAGGUGUGAGUGGCCAGCUGAUUUAGAAGGCUGGACGCAGAGGUCAAAGGUGUGAGUGGCCAGCUGAUUUAGAAGGCUGGACGCAGAGGUCAAAGGUGUGAGUGGCCAGCUGAUUUAGAAGGCUGGACGCAGAGGUCAAAGGUGUGAGUGGCCAGCUGAUUUAGAAGGCUGGACGCAGAGGUCAAAGUGUGAGUGGCCAGCUGAUUUAGAAGGCUGGACGCAGAGGUCAAAGGUGUGAGUGGCCAGCUGAUUUAGAAGGCUGGACGCAGAGGUCAAAGGUGUGAGUGGCCAGCUGAUUUAGAAGGCUGGAUGCAGAGGUCAAAGGUGUGAGUGACCAGCUGAUUUAGAAGGCUGGAUGCAGAGGUCAAAGGAGAAGUGCUGUGGGAGAAUUCUGGAGAAGAAAUAAGGUUUGGGGAAGUUUGAGGAAAAGAAAGGAAAGUGCUUGGUAACUGACACGGGCGUGAGGAGCCGGCACUCACCCCGGGGAGCGUGGAGGCCGCCGGGGCGCACACGCUCGCAGCUGGCAGGCUGGCGGGACUGGCGUUUAUGCUGCGCUAUCCUUGAGAGUAAUCUGAAGUGAUGGACGUGUCCGAGUAGAAUUAAGUUGAGGCCAUCAGCCCAGCGCCUCAGGGUGAGCAGGUCACGGAGCGUCUAGUCGUUACGUGAGGAGAGUUGGCGAGGAUCGUGGGAGGGCGUCGUGGGCAUCACUCUGGAAGCUCCUGGAAAGUGCCCUGAUGUUGGCUCUAGUGCAGUUAGCCUGUGUGUGCUCUUUCUUUACAAGUCAGUAGUCUUUGAAAGACUAAAUUUUAUAAUGAAUCUUGCAAGUUAUGCUUUGUGUAGCAAGAGUUCAAAAGGGUAUUUUUUAGCCCUUUUGUUUGAAAAUUUUUCACUAACAUGCAUAUUUUCCAAGCAUUGAUCUCAGUGUAAUAUUUUAAUAUGUGUGGAUCUAAACCAGUUAGAAUGGAUUAAGACAUAUAAACUUACGGCUGGAGCCCCAAAACUUUUUUUCUCAGGACAUAUUAAAAAAUAAUUUUUUAGGGGAUAAAAGUUCAUCACAAAAACAGUUCUGACAAUUCUGUGGUGUUUGGGAAUGGUCAGCGGUGGAGGUGGACUCCCUUCCUGGCAGAGUCGUCAGCUUGGGGAGCAUCUGACCCUAAGCUUGAGGCUGCAAGUGGAACCGUUGCCGCGUCUGGAAUGCUGUUCCUGGGGGUUCUAGGUGUACCUGUGGGCGCAGUCCUUGGGCCCCACACGCUCCUGUUCUGCUUCCU